UACGGAGGGUGCGAGCGUUGUCCGGAAUCACUGGGCGUAAAGGGCGCGUAGGCGGCGCGGGAAGUCAUCGGUGAAAGCUCAGGGCUCAACUCUGAGUCGGCCGGUGAUACUCUCGUGCUUGAGCACUGUAGAGGCAGGUGGAAUUCCGGGUGUAGCGGUGGAAUGCGUAGAGAUCCGGAAGAACACCGGUGGCGAAGGCGGCCUGCUGGGCAGUAGCUGACACUGAGGCGCGACAGCGUGGGGAGCAAACAGG
RNAcentral lists this ribosomal RNA (253 nucleotides) under uncultured bacterium. Its description in RNAcentral is "partial 16S ribosomal RNA". It matches the Rfam family "Bacterial small subunit ribosomal RNA", at positions 524 to 776 of the family's 1533-position model. The record is from RNAcentral.